GUCAAGUCAUCAUGGCCCUUAUGUCCAGGGCUACACACGUGCUACAAUGGGCGGUACAGAGCGAGGCGAGCCCGAGAGGGCGCAGCGAAGCGCAAAAAGCCGCCCGUAGUCCGGAUUGAAGUCUGAAACCCGACUUCAUGAAGCUGGAAUCGCUAGUAAUCGCGCAUCAGCAUGGCGCGGUGAAUACGUUCCCGGGCCUU
Molecule: ribosomal RNA, 200 nt
Filed under: uncultured prokaryote
Description: partial 16S ribosomal RNA
Rfam family: Bacterial small subunit ribosomal RNA
Source: RNAcentral